Non-coding RNA from Vicugna pacos (alpaca), 120 nucleotides. NCBI's taxonomy places the organism in Eukaryota, Metazoa, Chordata, Mammalia, Artiodactyla, Camelidae. The record is from Rfam.
GAUUUACCUGUGUUCGAGUACUGCUUUGUGAUAGGCAAGUCGCUGAGGGCCAUUUUGAGUUUCUUGUUAUUAUAAAGCACAUUUCAACCUCUAAGAAACUAUUCCUGCGGUGCACAGCAG